This 72-nucleotide transfer RNA is filed under the name Camelus ferus (Wild Bactrian camel). It matches the Rfam family "tRNA". From Rfam's summary of the family: Transfer RNA (tRNA) molecules are approximately 80 nucleotides in length. Their secondary structure includes four short double-helical elements and three loops (D, anti-codon, and T loops). Lineage: Eukaryota; Metazoa; Chordata; Mammalia; Artiodactyla; Camelidae. The record is from Rfam by way of RNAcentral.
GGGGUAAUAGCUCAAUGGUAGAGCAUGAGCUUAGCAUGCGCAAGGUACUGGGUUCAAUCCCCAGUACUUCCA